UACGUAGGAGACGAGCGUUGUCCGGAGUUACUGGGCGUAAAGGGUGCGCAGGCGGCCCUGCGCGUCGCGAGUGAAAUCUCCCGGCUCAACUGGGAGGGUGGUCGCGAGACGGCAGGCUUGAGGCUCGGUGAGGGGCGUGGAAUUCCGGGUGGAGCGGUGAAAUGCGUAGAGAUCCGGAGGAACACCAACGGCGUAGGCAGCGCCCUAGACGAGACCUGACGCUCAGGCACGAAAGCGCGGGGAGCGAACAGG
RNAcentral lists this ribosomal RNA (252 nucleotides) under uncultured bacterium. RNAcentral describes it as "partial 16S ribosomal RNA". It matches the Rfam family "Bacterial small subunit ribosomal RNA", at positions 524 to 776 of the family's 1533-position model. The record is from RNAcentral.